GCACUUUUUACACUUCUCACAGCAGGAACUGCAUAGUACGCGAUGCCUACAUGGAAGAAGAACCACGCUAAUUUCUCCCUCGAAACAAACCCGACAUAACACCUUUUCAUUUUGAAGCCUUUCAUAUUCCUGCUGACUGUAUUUGGUGAUUUCUGUCUGCUCCCCAAGUGCAGCUUGAAGGCGCCAGACCUCCUCUGCUAGAUCUUUCUUGGGCAUCUUCUUCACAAUCUCAGGAGGAUAUCCACUAAAAGUAUUGUACCCAGAGGCACCCUCAUGGUACAAUCGUGCCUGCUCCUCUCGACUGCCUUCAUCAAUUGACCACCACCCCAAUAGCCUUGAACCAUGAUGAAAGAACUCCAAACAGGCAUGAGCCCUAACUGAAAAACUGAAAUACAAU
This 397-nucleotide unclassified non-coding RNA is filed under the name Hevea brasiliensis (rubber tree). Lineage: Eukaryota; Viridiplantae; Streptophyta; Magnoliopsida; Malpighiales; Euphorbiaceae. The record is from RNAcentral.